ACGUGAGUAACACUGCCCUUGACUUUGGGAUAACUUCAGGAAACUGGGGCUAAUACCGGAUAGGAGCUCCUGCUGCAUGGUGGGGGUUGGAAAGUUUCGGCGGUUGGGGAUGGACUCGCGGCUUAUCAGCUUGUUGGUGGGGUAGUGGCUUACCAAGGCUUUGACGGGUAGCCGGCCUGAGAGGGUGACCGGCCACAUUGGGACUGAGAUACGGCCCAG
RNAcentral lists this ribosomal RNA (219 nucleotides) under uncultured Actinomycetales bacterium. RNAcentral's name for it is "partial 16S ribosomal RNA". It matches the Rfam family "Bacterial small subunit ribosomal RNA", at positions 115 to 334 of the family's 1533-position model. The record is from RNAcentral. Lineage: Bacteria; Bacillati; Actinomycetota; Actinomycetes; Actinomycetales.